This 859-nucleotide long non-coding RNA is filed under the name Heterocephalus glaber (naked mole-rat). RNAcentral describes it as "lncRNA (ENSHGLG00100039352.1)". Lineage: Eukaryota; Metazoa; Chordata; Mammalia; Rodentia; Bathyergidae. The record is from RNAcentral.
CUUUUUAACAGAUGAAACGGAGGCACACAGAGGCUUGGGGCCUUAUCGCAGGUCACACGUCACGUCAGUGGAGCUGGGCUGGGGCAGGUGGCACCUGCAGGUAAAUUUCUAUGUGGUCUGCAAGCCCCGCAGGGACAUGGGUUUUAACCUAUAAGGAUAAUGCAGGUCAGCCAUGGAAAGUGACCGAGGGAAGAUGAGAGCCAGGAUGCAGAGUGCAGUGUGGAUUGGAGGGACGGAGACCAGAGUCUGGGUCUGGACUCGGCAGCAGGAGCUUGAUGAGUGGAAAUGCUUUCUGUGGGUGCUCCCACCAGCUGAGCUUUGGCAGGAAGACUCAGAGAAAACCUGUAAGGAAAAAAAAAAGUUCCUGCAAGAUGGAGGUCAAACUGGUUCCAGCAUGCUUCUGCUCCCAGGUGGCCUAGAGGUGGAAGCUAUUCGGAUGAAAACACUGUUCCACACUAAAUUCUCUCAGCUUGAAGUUACCCAAUUCCACAGGCAAGAGAAGCCUGACUCUUCACAGGCUGCACACUCCCUUUAAUUUGAGCAAGUGACCUAAGUUUUGCCUAUUCAUUGAUAUUUUGCCAAAUUCUAGUAUUUUAAGGAGUAUGACCUGAAACCAGACAAGUUGGCACAUGCAUGUAAUCUUAGCACUCAGGAGGCUGAGGCAAGAGGACCACAGUGAGAUCCUAUCUCAAAAAAAAAAAAAAAAAAAAAGACCCAAUGACAAAGAAUAUAGAUGUCCUGCAUUUGUGCUCCCUUUCUCACAUUCUCUAGCCUUUUCCCUAUUAGAAUCAGUUAAUAUUUGGUUGUUUUACACACUACAAAAUCAAGUAAGGGGUAGAAGAAACAGGAAGUGCCAGAU